AGUAGAAGUUGCAAGUCGCGUUGUUACUCUGUAAACAAGAGCUUUAAAAAUGGAGUAGAUUUAAAUGGAUGAAAAGUUAAUAAUAGAUUUUAAUUGAAUGGAUUUUUCGAUAAAUAGGGAGUAUCAUUCAAAUAAAAUUGAAUUUAGAGGCGGUUGAUUUUUGGUUGAAUGAAAUGUUUUGAAAAUGGCGCUGAUCAUUUAACUAAACUCAUACCUAAAAGAACGAAUGAUUAAACCAGAAGCAACUUAAAAGUUGUUUAUCAAUGGGAAAUCUCAAUAAGCACUUACAUACCUUGCCUAAACUGCAUUCUCCAGCGACCUAAAAAUCUCAGUGCGAUAAUUCUGAAGUCCAUCAUUACUAUUAAAUUUAAUCUUUUAUAUACGUCGUAUGAAAACCUUUUUCUUGACUAUAAAAAUCAUGACAAAUGAAAAUUUCGGCUAAAAAAACGUAGCAUUUCAUAUCAUAAACAGGGAGAGAUGAAUAUAAAAACCGUCAAUCCUUAGAAAGGAAACGUAAUGAAGCUAUGUCCAACAAAAAUUUAGUUCAAGCUUUUCUUCGAUAAUUCGAAUUCAUGAACACAUGUAAAAUGCUUAUUAAUCAAUUAUGCUAAG
Molecule: non-coding RNA, 612 nt
Organism: Schizosaccharomyces pombe (fission yeast)
Lineage: Eukaryota; Fungi; Ascomycota; Schizosaccharomycetes; Schizosaccharomycetales; Schizosaccharomycetaceae
Source: the annotation of a GenBank genome assembly